Molecule: ribosomal RNA, 462 nt
Filed under: uncultured bacterium
Lineage: Bacteria
Description: SSU rRNA
Rfam family: Bacterial small subunit ribosomal RNA
Source: RNAcentral
AGAAUCAACGCUGGCGGCGUGCCUAACACAUGCAAGUCGCACGAGAAAGCGGACUUCGGUCUGUGAGUAAAGUGGCGCACGGGUGAGUAACACGUGAAUAAUCUACCUUCGAGUGGGGAAUAAACUGAGAGAAAUCUUAGCUAAUACCGCAUAACACUUACGAGUCAAAGCAGCAAUGCGCUUGAAGAGGAGUUCGCGGCAGAUUAGUUAGUUGGCGGGGUAAUGGCCCACCAAGACGAUGAUCUGUAUCCGGCCUGAGAGGGCGCACGGACACACUGGAACUGAAACACGGUCCAGACUCCUACGGGAGGCAGCAGUGGGGAAUUUUGCGCAAUGGGGGAACCCUGACGCAGCAACGCCGCGUGGAGGAUGAAAUCCCUUGGGAUGUAAACUCCUUUCGAUCGGGAAGAUAAUGACGGUACCGAGAGAAGAAGCCCCGGCUAACUUCGCGCCAGCAGCCGC